RNAcentral lists this long non-coding RNA (4029 nucleotides) under Nasonia vitripennis (jewel wasp). RNAcentral's name for it is "uncharacterized LOC116417765, transcript variant X2". The record is from RNAcentral. Lineage: Eukaryota; Metazoa; Arthropoda; Insecta; Hymenoptera; Pteromalidae.
GGCGGCAGAUUAUAGCUAUAUAGUUAUUAGCUAUACCUAUAUGUGCUUCGUAUACCUCACGAGUGGGUAUUUUGCGGUCUGCUUCUGCCAACAACGUUGGUCUUUUUUUCGGAGCUGCAACGCUUGUUUUUGUUUUGAUAAAGCCCGUGCAUUGACACGUCUUUGCGGGGUUGACUGUUACUACUUAAGUUAGAAUCUGUGCGAAUCCGGGAAUUUUCGGAGCAGAUGAGCUUGUACGAAACUCGUCUAUCCUUUUAACUGCUGCACAAUUUAAAAGCGAGUGUGAGACAAUUUCACGUAACUAUACUCGGUAUAUAUAGAACGUUGUAUAAUAAUUCGUUCGCGGAAUCGUCAGCUGUGUUGGUGCGAGAUUUUGAAAGAGACUCUCUGCUUAUGUAUAUUAUUUACGUCGCACGUGCGGAGACCGUUAUUGUUGUUGUUGCGUUUUUUCAGGCAAUUCGUGCGUGUUGCACCUUUGGGUUUAUUAUAUCUUCAGGACGUGAUAUUUUCGCCUUUUCCGAGAGGCUGAUUAAAAAAGCGUUAAAUCGUCGUAAAGCGCGAAUUCUCUUUUCUUUUUUGUUCGUAACAACCUUGAGCAGCGAGUACCUAUAUAGGCACCUAUCGGGUAUUGCAUAAUUGAUUAUGCUUGAGGUUUAAUUAUAUCUAUUUAUUGUCAAGUUUUUUAUUUUAAAACUAAUAUUUAGAUUGCGGUGUUCGAGCAGAUGCACGAAAUAGAGAACUAGUAUAAAAACAGCUCAAGGAAAGCUUGCAUAAGUAUCGGCAAUGUCUCUGUCACGUCCUUAAAUAAGGAUAUAAAAGACAGAUGUAAAUUAGCUAUAUACAUCACUAUACGCACCAGGAAAAGAAGAUUAAUGAUCCACGAUUAUUAAGAAACUUGGAAUUAAUUUAAGCAAGGAAAAUCUGCGUUUCCAUAAUAAUGUCGUUGUGGGAAUUGAGUCGUUACACCGCGCCUGCCGAUUAUAACAUCGUUAUAUGCACUAUCCGGAGGUGUGCACACCAGCGUUAUACUAUAACAAUUUGCACACCGACGUCGCACUACAGAAAAUCGAUCCGCGCAUGUAUAUAAUGGCUUAUUCAUCGCACGUUUCGACUUGCCGAGUUAUUAGAGAGCCCUCACGAGUAAUCUAAAAAUAUAUGCGAAUCGAAAAUGCAAAUCCUCUCUAUUUCAUGUGCAUCCGAGACUCUGUUAGUUCUGGAAUCUGAGUCGGCUAACAGACAAUGAGAUAGUCUCGUUGUAAAAAAGCUCUCAUUGUUAUAGACAUUAUAUUGACAGAGGGCGCGGCGGUUGUCACACAGGAUGUCUAUUGAAGCUUAUGUAAUUUUGCUCUGUUUUUAAUACCCUGACGUAUAGCGGCCGCGAGUGUGUAUACUCGUGUAAGAGUUUAAUUUUAUCGCAAGCACAUGUUGCACUACAUUCUUCGAGAAUCGGUCGCGUAAAUCUUGACGCCUUUUGACAGUCAUUGUGUAAUAUGCGAUUAUAAACAUGAACGGAUGUCGGACGCUUAUUUCUAGGUCCUUUUUUGAGGAUCACCUAAUGGAUCAAUAUUUUUAUAAUAUACACGAUAUUAUUAUGAUUAAUCAAUGUACAGAAGUAAAAAAGAGGCUUUCAGUAUUGCCAUUAUGAAUUGGAUGCUUAUAACCAAAUUAUUAAUGAUCCUGUAGAGGUGAUCGUUCGACAUUAGUACCUUUCGAGAAUAUAGUUUAUGGCUAUCAAUAAACGCGUUCUAUCGAUCCAUUCGAAUACUCAUAUACCGAAAAAUGCCAUCCAUGCAUAUGUACAAUCAGCUAUCAAUAUCGGCGCGGACUUUGAAAACACCGAUAAAACAAUUAUUGCACAUAUAAUUACACAUACAUACGACAGAGGAAGAUGGAUUAAAGUGCCUACGUAGACGUAAUCAGGUAGUGGAAUUGUAUAAUAAAAAGCUGGAUGUAUACACGCGCGGCAAAGAUCGACACGUAGAAUACAAUCGGCCGCCGCAUCGAUUGACCCGACUGAUAUAGCCGCGUAUAAAGCAGCGUGCAAAGCACGUAAAUAUUUUACAGGAAAGUCAAGCAGUUUCCAGGCUUGCGGGGAUGGCCGAUGACGUCGCGCCUUUUCUCUCAUCUUUGAUACAGAUAGUCACGUAGAGUUCGAUAAGGUAUCGCACGAGUAUAUGUACAUCAUAGUGUCUUAUAUAUCGGUAUCGCAUACCGAGACGUUUUCGCGCGUAGAAUUCGGUCAGUGACUCGACGUUCGCUUAUUUCGCGGCGGUGCGUUACGGUAACUUUUGCAAGCUCACACUUGACUUUUCUUAUGUCUUCUAGUUGCGUAGUCAUCUCAUUGUAUUGAUUUAGUGACAUUCGAGCUCGCGCUUGAUUGUUUGGUGCAGUUUUUUUUUCCAACUUCGUUAAAACUUAGUUCAAACACAUGCUCAAGGGCAAAUAAAUAGUUAAUUGAAAAAUCUAUACAGGAGUAUAUGUAUGCGCACAUAAUAUACAAGUAUAAUUUUGACGCACAUUCAUGGAACUAGUGAGCUGAUACAUAAAUCGUGCCUGUGUAUAAAACGUGUAGCGAAGGUGAGAGAACAUAUUUUUCAAUUGUUUGUCGAAAGCUCUCGUUUCCUCUUAUUCCUAUGACUUUUCAAUAAAAUUUCAUUCUAGAAAGUACGCUAAAUAUACGAUUGCACGCGUUCGAUAUGACUAUAGAAACAAACAAAAUCGCUGUCUCGGCGCUGUGUCGCUUCAUUUAUCUAUAAUAUUUAUCGAAGUGCGCUCGCUAUAAUCACAAAGCGGAUAAAUCCUUGGUUUUAUUUGUUUAUACUUAUUAAUCGGUGCCUCACGUGGCACAAAAAGCCGUAGCUACUCGAUACGUCUAUACUUAUAAUUUUAAUCUACGACAAUUAGUAUAUUAUAUAGCGAAAAGCGUAGAUCAUCGUAUCGCAUACGUCGAAAUCCAUUUCAUAAUGAUGAAUCACGUGCAUGACACUUAUGUUAUAGUUUUUCGAUUACGUCAAACGUGAACCGCCUGCUUUCAUUCCAUAACUUAUCACAUAUAAACGGUGAAAAGCAACAUCGACAAGCGAACUUGGAACAAAAAUGGAAUAUCUUUUUGAGAGAACAAAUUAUAUUCAAGAAAUCUGUUCGGUUAUACCUGUGACGCAAAUCGAAGAUGACUACGAGUUUACUCAAAUGACAAGUAGAAAUGUACGUGCACGGCAAGACGAGCAAUUUCUAUUUUUAAUUCGCAACAAAAUUCAUUAGAUUGAAUUGACUAGCUCGAACGAUGCGUUGCACCUGUAAGUGCGCCAUUAUAGUGACGCGUCGCAGAUUUACAAAUACAAGUUCGAAUAUAUCUACAUUCGAUUGUAUCUUUUGCGUAUAGUUUUCCGUACAUCAUCAUGCGCGUACUCGAACGCACACGACGAGCAUAAUCAUAGCUUCAUUGUAUUAACAAUAAUUGAGCGCCGCACAAUCGACUGAUGUAUUCUUAGAAAAUCAAAAUAUUGGCGAGGAAAAAAAAACCACUAUCGCCAGCUCUAAGAAAAUUCGCAACAAUAGUGUAGUAGCAGUCGCGAUCUACGCAUGUAAUUCUAAAAAAAGCGCGCGACGGAAACGAUUGCCGGGUUCUUUGAUCGACGACAACUGCAUUAUGGAUUCGUUCGCUUAAUCUUACAAAGUUUAAGUGCCAAGGUUGCCGACGCCAGUCGUCGACUCUCUCACCGACAAUCUAUAAUGUAUGCAGACAAUCUAUGAUGUAUUAUACAAUGCUUUUUUGCGUGCCACGACCGAUUAUGAUCGCACAUGUGGCUUUUUCUUCUAUGUUGUGUACGUGUGUAUAUCUUUAUCUGGCCAAGGCCAAACGGUUUUCUCAUCGAUUCCACGCGAAAAUUUCGUCUAGCCUCGCAUCGACUUUUCGGCUAUGAUAAGUUAACUCGUCGUAGAACUCUGUAUACGUACACGUUGUCUCACAAUGGUCUAUAGACUGUCCAUAAAUGGUUUAGCAUAUAAAUAAAAGGUGCUUAGAGAAAA